RNAcentral lists this long non-coding RNA (6025 nucleotides) under Sus scrofa (pig). RNAcentral describes it as "lncRNA (ENSSSCG00000057069.1)". Lineage: Eukaryota; Metazoa; Chordata; Mammalia; Artiodactyla; Suidae. The record is from RNAcentral.
GGCCUUUGUGCUUCUUGUAUCUUGAAAUUUGUUUCCUUUAGAUUUGGAAAGUUUUCAGACAUAAUUUCUUCAAAUAUAUUUUCAAUCCCCUUUUCUUUUUCUUAUUCUUCUGGAAUUCCUAUUAUUUGUAUUUUGGCUCACCUUGUAUUAUCCCAUGGGGCUCUUAUAUUGCUUUCAUGUUUUUUCAUUUGCUUUUCUGUCUACUGUCCUGAUUGGGUGAUUUCCAUUAUUCUAUCUUCUACAUCACCAUUUCGUCCCUUUGCAUGAUUCAAUCUGCUCUUUAUUGCCCUUAGCUCAGUUUGCAUCUCUGCAAAUGUGUUUUCUAGCUUUUCUUGGCUCCUCCUUAUAUUUUCUAAUUCCAUUCUAGGGGAUUUGGCAUUACUGUUCUUGUCUUCUCCUGGUUCCUUGAUAUUCAGCCUAAUUCUUUCAGUAUUUUCACUAUCUCCCUUUUGAACUCAAUGUCUGUCAGACUGCAUAGAUCUGUUUCAUUUUUCAGUAAUUUUAGUGAAUUCUCCUGUUCCUUUAACUGGAAAUGGUUUAUGAUCUUCUUCAUCUUGCUUAUGUUUUUCUUUUUCUGUGAGUUUGCAGAAGCCCAACUGUAGUCUUGUAAGGCCACUUAUAGGCAAGAGCACCCCUUUGUAUUUUUUUGGUGGGGUUACUAUUUGUUUUUGGUGUGGAAUUUGAAUAUUUGGUGUUUCUUUCUUCAGUGUGAGCAGGUUGUCAUCUCCCAGGUGCUCAGUGUGUUUUCAGGGAGAAGAAGGCAAUGGGUAGGGCCAGCAGUUGGUGCCUGGUUGCUGGGCUCUCAACAGCAACAAAGACCUGAAGGAAGGUGGCACUGGCUACUCCUAGUUGCAGGGCUCCAGGAAGUGGUUAUGAGCUCUAGGCAGAUCUACAAAUUGUCCAGAGCAUUUGGCAGUAGCAGCAGCAGUGUUCAUGAUUUUCCAGGGGAGAGAGAACCACAAUGGCUAGUGUUUGUUUGCAAUGCCCUCCUCUGAAGUGAUUGGAACCGCAAGUGGUGCCUGUUCAGGGGCCCCUAGUGCUAACAGGCCAUGACUGUCUCUAGAGUCAGUGAUAACUGUGGUGGUUUGCCCCCACUAUGUAUAGACCAUGCAUGAAGCGAUCUGCCUCACUUAGCCCACAUAGGAGGUGCUGCACAGGCUGUUCCUAGUUGUAGGAUCCUGGGAAGUGACGGAGAUAAGGCAUAUGAUUACUUCCCAGAGCAUUCAGCUGUGGCAGCAGCAUGGCUGGUGUGCUCCCAGGGGUGUGAGAGCACUAACAUGUGGUUUUCAAUCACAAUGCCCUCCUCUGUGGUGCCCUUGAGGCGAUUGGGGCUACAAGCAGUGCAUGUUUAUGGUGACAGGCCACUCCCACCUCUAGAGCCAGAGAUAACAGUGGUGGUUUGGCCCCACCUCCUGUAGGCAAUGCAAGAAGCACCUCAUCCUGCUUAGCCCCCACAGGGUGUGCUGCACAAGUUGCCCCUAGUUGCAUAUUCCUGAGAUGGGACAGUGAUCAAGCAUCUGGGCACUGCCCAGAACAUUUGGCAGUGGCAUCAACAGGGGGGUGUUCCCCCACGUGAGCAAUGGCAACAUCAGUUGGUGUUCCAUCAUAAUGUCCUUCUCUGUGAUGCCCUCUGAGGUGGCUGAGGCUACGAGUGAUUUUUGUUGAGGUAUCCCCAGUGAUGGGCCACACCUACCUCUGGAGUCACAGAUAACUGUGGUGGUUUGUUCCCUUCACCUGAAGGCCAUGCAAGAAGCACCCUGUCCCACUUAGACUUCACAGGGGGUGCUGCAGUUGCUGCUCCUAAUUGUAUGGUCUUGGGAAGAGAUAGUGACAAAGUGUCUGGGCACUGCCCAGAGCGUUUGGCAGUGGCACCUGCAGGGUGAGUGUGUUCCCAGGGUUGUGAGAGCAAGAGCAUAUGGUGCUUUGUAGGCACCAUGUCACACUUGGCUCCCUGAUGCCCUUAGCCUACACUAGAGGUGCCUGGCCACUGGUAGCCUGCAGAAGAAGGGCCCAAUCUCCCAUAUGUGAGCAAGGACUUUUCUCCACAUGUGGCAUGCACUGGAGCCACCUGGUCUGCCUCAGGUUAGGAAGUGGCUUCCAGCCACAGGAGGCCUGCGCCAGAGAUCCCCAGUCUACUCUGGGCUAGCAGCAGCUUCCGGCCUCUGGAAGUCCAUGCCAGAGAUGUGCAGUCCGUCGCAGACUAGGAAGCAGCUUCUGGUCAUGGGCGGGCUGCACUGGAGAUGCCCAGUCUCCCACAGGCAAGCAAGCAGCUUCUGUCCCUGGGUGGCCUGCACCAGCACUGCCUCACCCUCUGUAAGCCCAUGGGCAUAUGUGCACACUCGGUCACAAAUUAUUUCCUAGUGCGGUCUGCCCCUCCUCUUCUCGUCCUUCCCAACAAUGGCACCUUGCCUCUCCUGCAGGUCUGGACCUUCUCCUGGGUUCCCUCUGCCAUAGCUUUCCACUCCCCAGCCCAUAGUGUACCGCUCCCCCACCUGUCCUGCUCUGCUCCUUAGCCCCUUAGGCUUUCUCCACACUGCCAACACUAGCCCUCUUCUGGGGACUAACCUCUGGAGCCUAAGUCUCAGCACCCAGCCCACAAGGGUGUCUCAGGCCAUGGUGUCUGUAUCAGUGGUUCAGAUGAUCUGUGCAGCCCUCACUCUGCUUUUCCUUUCUCAGACCUACUGCUGCACUUUUCUCGGUGACUUUGAGGUCCUUCCAGCUUGGCUAAUCUUUCUGUCCAUUAGGUGGCUUCCCAGGGUGUGGGUUCAUUUUCUUCUUCAUAGCUCCCUCUCUGGAAUGCUAGUGCAGUCCUGAUUCAUUUUCUAUCUCUCUCUUUCUCUUUUUUUCUUUUGUUCUACCCAGUUAUGUCAAGAGUUUCUUGCGCUUUUUUGAGGUUUGAGUUCUUCUGCCAGCAUACAGUUGAUGUUCUGUGUUGAUGUUCUCAUUUUGCAUGUAGAUGUGUUUUUUGAUAUGUUUGUGGGAGAUGUUGAGCGUGACUUCUUAUUCCUCUGCCAUCUUGCUCCAACCCCCAAUCUCUUCAUUUUCAAUUUUAUUAUUUUGUUUUAUUGUUUUUGCUUUGUUUUAUUGUAAACCCCUCUUUCUCUUUCUUUCUUUUUCUUUUUCUUUUUUUUUUAAAGACUGCAUUUGCAGCAUAUGGAAGUUCCCAGGCUAGAGGUUGAAUUGAAUUGGAGGUGUAGCUCAUGGCCUAUGCCACAGUCAGGGCAACACCAGUUCCUUAACGCACUGACUGAGUGAGGCCAGGGAUCAAAUCUGCAUCCUUAUGUAUACUGGUUGAGUUAGUAACCUAUUAAGACACAGCAGGAACUCCGUUUUUUCUUGAUGAGUCUAACUAAAGCUUUAUGAAUAUUAUUUUCCUUUUCAAAGAAAGAGCUCCUAGCUUCAUUGAUUAUUUUCUAUGUAUUUUUAGGGUCUCUAUCAUUUAUUUCUGUUUCGAUGCUUAAUAUUCUUCCAUUAAUUUUUAGUUUUUGUUCUUCUUUAUCUAAUCCCUUUAGUUGUAAGGUAAUGCUGCUUAUUUAAAUUUUAGGUUUCUAUCACUAUAAACUUAUCCCUUUGAAAUGCUUUGGUUUUCCACCAGAGAUUUUGGGUUAUUGUGAUAUAUAUAUAUAUAUAUGAGAUAUAUAUAUUUAAAGAAUAAUGUGGUUGCUUCUUUUGGAUAGAGGCUCUGUGUAGUAGCAGAUCUUGCAACCCACAAGACAGAACCAUUGGACUAAAAAUAAUUUUAAAAAAGUAUAAAUUCCUAUGCUGCUGGGUAUAGAAAUGACUGUAGUUCUGCGUUGUCUUCCUCAGGCAUACUCUUAUCCACACUAGUAGAUAGAUAUUGACAUGAGAAGAUAAUAUUUUAGAAUUGGGGUCAAGAAAAAUGUGGCAAUUUUAUUUAUUUUUCCUUCUAUGUCUGUGUUCCAUUAAGCUUAAUCAUUAAGUGAUGCCAUAUAUUUGCUAACAGCCUAGUCCUGGGUGUAAUUCCAGACUCAAAUCACAUGACGUGAAAGAUAAUAAGCCCCAUUUAUUUACAGUAGCAUUUGUCUUUCACUUAGGUCUCAGUUACUAGGUUUGUCCAUUCAUCUUAUUCAUUGGGCUUAACACAAAUUACUAACUUUUAUUUAUUUUCAGAAGCCAAAAUCAUGAUGAGAAUUUGCCCCUUUGAUCAUAUUAGAAAUAUUUUACAUAGAAAAUAAAUUUAUUUCCAAAGGAAUGUGAACUUCAAAAAUAUCAUGUUGUCUCCCAGAGUAACUACUUAGAAGACAAAACAUUCAUUUGAAUGUGUAGACUGUAUAAACUCAUGACAAUGGAGGCUACAUGUUUAGGAACUCCAAGUCAUCUUCCAUCUCCUCUUUUUGUCCUUUAGUAGAAAAUACUGGAAAAUAUACUUCCUAAUUCUCUAAAAGUUAAUUAAUUAAAACUUGCAAAAGGAAGAAAUUUAUAAUAAUCCCUUGAUAAGAGGUGACCAAAUUAUAAUUAUACCAGAGUGUUUAUUGUUCCUGGCAGUAGCUACCAGGCAUGCUAGUACUCAUCAAGUCAAUUAUCCACAGUUUCAGAUAAGAACAAAAAAAGAUUAGUCACUUAAUGAAGAAUAAGUUUUUGUGGCCUUAAUUUACUGGUUCCAAUUAUUUAAAGACUCCUCAAUUCUCUUUUUUCCAUUGGUACACUUAGCCACAAGAGGACUUGAAUUCAAAUAUUUUUCUUUGACUUGUUCCCAAAAGUAACAAUUGAAAAAGAAUGGAAAAGACGAGAGACAAAGUAGUAACUGAACUUCUUUCUCUAGAUUACAGUCAGUUUAUUCAGGUAGUAUAUUUCCAUCCAUGAUACUAGUCACAUUUUCUCUUUUUACUUUAUAAGAAGGAAAAAGUCCUGGCAAAGUGUUCAAGACUCUGUAAACCCAUUAUCUAAGUGAAAAACCAUCAAUGUUUUGCCAUAUUUGUUUGAUAUUUUCCCUAACCCUUAUUACAAGUUGGAAAACUUUUAAAUGAUCCUGACACAAGAAAACUUGCUACUAAUUUGGUAUGCAGUAAGUUCACUUGAAAUAUAUCUUUAAAUCUGUUGUCUGGUUUCAAAAUCUACUGUACAAAGAUAGUGGUAGGUAACAAGGCAGGUAUGCUAUGUGUAAUCAAAGGAAAACCUGAGUCUGAGAAAGACCUGUGAAAUUAUAACUAACUUCAUCAAAUUUUAUUUACAUAUCAUAAAACAUUGAUUGUAAAGAUUAGUUAAGUUUUCUAAUUCUUAGAUAAGUGUAUUUCAGUAAAUUUAAUUUUAUUAAAAAAUAUAUGUGUACUCUAAGAAAAUUUCAAAUAUCAAAAGUUUGAGUAGGUUAAUCAUUUAAUGAUUAACUGAGCAGUAAUCAUUUCAUAUUGUUUGUCAACACAUUCUAAAGAAGGAAAAUUGAGAUUUUACUAGGGAAUUAUAGCUUCAUAUGUACUUCCUUUAUUAGAGAACUGCCAUACUUUUGGGUCAGGGUGCAAAUGUAAUGGGGAGAGAAGGCCAUUCUUACAGAUUGUUCUGAAUUAGAUUAAUUACAUAAAAGUUUACAUAAAUAAUUUAGAGUGAAUUUUAACCUCCCAUUCCUUCUCUUACUUCAAUUAAAUAAGCUAUUUUAAUGCUAUUUGGUAGAAUUGCAUUCCUGUAUGUUCCUGCAGUUAGUAUGUUGAAUUUCAUAUUCUGUAAGGUACCAUGUACUCACAGUUUGAAUGCAUGUGUUUUGGACUAUGGACUCUGGAAACAAUAAAAAUAAAUAUUAGAGCAUUUUCUGUUUAGUACACACUCAUCCUCUAUAUAUUUGGAUAGCUAGAGAUUUCUACUCCUAGUCAAUACCUAAUAUAUCCUAAUCGGAAUUACCAGUUGUUCUUAUGGAAAUAAUGAUCCUUAGAUUAAAAGUUAUUGAAUGUGUAAAAUGUCACAAUAUCAUAAAUAUCCCUGUGAUGAAGCAGUGUAAUAAUAAAAAAGAAAUGAAAAAAUCAGCCAGAGAUAAAUCAUUUAAAACCAUUGAGUACAGAUGUGAUAAAUUCAUUUG